Molecule: unclassified non-coding RNA, 299 nt
Filed under: uncultured fungus
Lineage: Eukaryota; Fungi
Also listed under: 1 other name
Description: partial contains 5.8S ribosomal RNA, internal transcribed spacer 2, and large subunit ribosomal RNA
Rfam family: 5.8S ribosomal RNA (bases 1-52)
Source: RNAcentral
AACGCAUCUUGCGCUCUCUGGUAUUCCGGAGAGCAUGUCUGUUUGAGUGUCAUGAAUUCUUCAACCCAAUCUUUUCUUGUAAUCGAUUGGUGUUUGGAUUUUGAGCGCUGCUGGCUUCGGCCUAGCUCGUUCGUAAUACAUUAGCAUCCCUAAUACAAGUUUGGAUUGACUUGGCGUAAUAGACUAUUCGCUAAGGAUUCGGUGGAAACAUCGAGCCAACUUCAUUAAGGAAGCUCCUAAUUUAAAAGUCUACCUUUUGAUUAGAUCUCAAAUCAGGCAGGAUUACCCGCUGAACUUAA